This 240-nucleotide long non-coding RNA is filed under the name Mytilus galloprovincialis (Mediterranean mussel). The record is from RNAcentral. Lineage: Eukaryota; Metazoa; Mollusca; Bivalvia; Mytilida; Mytilidae.
UUCGAAAGUGAGGCUAUUCGCCAGCCAUUCAUCAUUUAAAUGAGUUACCGCACUUUGAGAUGCGAAUACAGAGAAAAUAUUAACAAGUUGAAAUUACAACAUGUAAUGAAAAUUACUUUAAAGCCAUAGAAAAGAAGAAAUUUGAUUUUUAAACCGGAAGUGCAUAAAAAACCGCGACCAGAAGCGGCGUGGAGAUGGACGAAGAGAGCGGAGAGCUAUUGUCCCAGGACAUAAUAGAGG